GGUUUAAUUCGAAGCAACGCGAAGAACCUUACCAGGUCUUGACAUCCCGAUGCUAUUUCUAGAGAUAGAAGUUACUUCGGUACAUCGGUGACAGGUGGUGCAUGGUUGUCGUCAGCUCGUGUCGUGAGAUGUUGGGUUAAGUCCCGCAACGAGCGCAACCCCUAUUGUUAGUUGCCAUCAUUCAGUUGGGCACUCUAGCGAGACUGCCGGUAAUAAACCGGAGGAAGGUGGGGAUGACGUCAAAUCAUCAUGCCCCUUAUGACCUGGGCUACACACGUGCUACAAUGGUUGGUACAACGAGUUGCGAGUCGGUGACGGCGAGCUAAUCUCUUAAAGCCAAUCUCAGUUCGGAUUGUAGGCUGCAACUCGCCUACAUGAAGUCGGAAUCGCUAGUAAUCGCGGAUCAGCACGCCGCGGUGAAUACGUUCCCGGGCCUU
This 437-nucleotide ribosomal RNA is filed under the name uncultured Streptococcus sp. Its description in RNAcentral is "bacterial SSU rRNA". It matches the Rfam family "Bacterial small subunit ribosomal RNA", at positions 943 to 1382 of the family's 1533-position model. The record is from RNAcentral. Lineage: Bacteria; Bacillati; Bacillota; Bacilli; Lactobacillales; Streptococcaceae.